UACGGGGGGGGCAAGCGUUGUUCGGAAUUACUGGGCGUAAAGGGCUCGUAGGCGGCCAACUAAGUCGGAUGUGAAAUCCCCAAGCUUAACUUGGGAACUGCAUCCGAUACUGGAUGGCUUGAAUCCGGGAGAGGGAUGCAGAAUUCCAGGUGUAGCGGUGAAAUGCGUAGAUAUCAGGAAGAACACCCGUGGCGAAGGCGGCUCUCUGGUACGUGACUGACGCUGAGACGCGAAAGCGUGGGGAGCGAACAGG
RNAcentral lists this ribosomal RNA (253 nucleotides) under uncultured bacterium. RNAcentral's name for it is "partial 16S ribosomal RNA". It matches the Rfam family "Bacterial small subunit ribosomal RNA", at positions 524 to 776 of the family's 1533-position model. The record is from RNAcentral.